UGUGACUGUUUACCAAAGACAUAGCUAACUGCUAUUACUUAAAGUAAAUGUAUAGUUAGUGAAACCUGCCCACUGAUAAUCUAUAAGUCAUAAAGAUUGUUUAAAGGCCGCGGUAACUCUGACCGUGCUAAGGUAGCAUAAUCAAUCGCCUCCUAAUUAGAGGCUAGAAUGAAGGGGAUUACGAGCUUCUCCCUGUCUCAAACUUAGGUUCAUUGAAAUUUAGUACUUUGUUAAGACGCAAAGAACUCCUGACUAGACGAGAAGACCCCGUCGAGCUUUAUUUUUAUCUAUUGAUUUAAAAUAUUCCGCUUGAGAAGAUUUAGUUUAAUAGGGAAGAAAUUUAGUUGGGGUGACUGCCCGAAUAAUAGAAACUUGGGUGAACAAAGGUGAUUAAUGUAGUAAUUUAGCUUUAUUCAUAGGAAGACAUUCUAGUGAAUUACUAAAUUUAAAGUAAGUUAAAUAACCCGCUUUAUUUUUAAAGCGAUUACGAAUAAAAGCUACCGCGGGGAUAACAGGGUAAUUUAGACUUAGAGCUCCUAUCGAAGUCUAAGUUUGCCACCUCGAUGUUGAAUAGCAGUAUCCUAGGAGUGCAGAAGCUUCUAAGGGUUGGUCUGUUCGACCAUUAAAACUGUACUUGAUUUGAGUUCAUUCCGUCGUAAGACAGGAAGGUUUCUAUCUU
RNAcentral lists this ribosomal RNA (679 nucleotides) under Carybdea sp. CLAetal05. RNAcentral's name for it is "partial large subunit ribosomal RNA". It matches the Rfam family "Bacterial large subunit ribosomal RNA", at positions 1795 to 2644 of the family's 2925-position model. Lineage: Eukaryota; Metazoa; Cnidaria; Cubozoa; Carybdeida; Carybdeidae. The record is from RNAcentral.